UUUCUAACCACAACAAUCCCAGCAGCCACAAAGAGUUGACCACACCCACCUUAUUGCACCAACACGUAUUAUACGUACUUUGCAUGAUACUUUAUUUUCUCAUUUGUUUGUGGUUCAUUUCCUCUGCCUAGAACGAAAGCUCCUUGAGGACAAACGUUGCAUCUGAUUCAUCUUUAUGUCCACAGGGCCUAACGGAGGACUUGGCAAGCAGUAGAUGUGUAAUAUUUAUUGAAUAAAUAAAACAGAGUGGAGUGGGGUUCGACUCCAAAGACAGCAUUAGGAUUGGAAACUAUUCUAGAGAUACUCAGCUCCUGAGAGAUCCAUCCAUUCACCCUUCCAUCCAACAAAAUUCGUUGAGGAUCUUUUAUGUCCUAGGCACUGAGGAUACAGAACUGAACAAGGCAGAUGUGGUCUCUGCUCUUCUGGCAUCUGUAUUUUAGCAGAGGAAGAGAGAAGUAAGCAAGCACAUGAACAAAUAAGUGCUUUGAAGAAAAGAAAACAAGACGUUGUGCCUUUAAAGAGGAUGAUGAGAGAGGUCAAAGUAGGUUCUCUGAGAAAGUGACAUUUGAGGUAAGACAUGAGUGAAAUGAUGGACCCAAACAUGUGAAUAUCUAACAAGGGGCAGAAGGUACGGCAAAAGCAAGUGCAAAGAGCCAAAGGUGGGAACAAGCUUGGAUUGUUAGAGAAACAAAAACAAGACCAGUAGGGCAUAGAACAUAGUGAGGAAGAGGGAAAGCGAAGAAAGGCGAGGCUAGACUCAAUCCACCCGAAAGGCCAUGAGAACAAGACCUUCAGUGUAAUGAGGUCCCAUCCCACAGAUCACCCCCGGGGCCCCCUGCAGAACACAAAGAGGGGCUCUCUCCCCAGGGCCAAACCAGCCCCAUCUUGUACAGCCUGACAUUAUACCAUCACCCAAAAUCAAGAAGCAGCAUCUGUGCCAGCCAUCUCCCACUGGAAGGACCAGAUCCUCAGGCCACUCCCAACUUUGCCCUACUUACCAUUCCCAAGAGUAGCCGGAAUCCUUCUUUGGCUGAGUUAUCAGUGAGCCCCAUUUCAGUGCACGUGGCCUGGCCAUGAAUGCCUGCAAAUCCCACUCCUUCUCAGACCCACUCAGAGGGUGCACUUGGCUUGCCCAGUCUGGGGGAAGCCACUCCCUGGCAGGGAAUAGCGGCUUGAGCUGCAAUGUAAAGCCAGUGGCUGCACAUUUUUAUGUUUGGUGGAUUCUGCAUAACGUGGUUCUCGAUGACUAAGGUUCCUUUUCUGGAACAAGGGCAGUUAAGACCCUGAAGACCAAG
Molecule: long non-coding RNA, 1295 nt
Filed under: Equus caballus (horse)
Lineage: Eukaryota; Metazoa; Chordata; Mammalia; Perissodactyla; Equidae
Description: lncRNA (ENSECAG00000059504.1)
Source: RNAcentral